RNAcentral lists this transfer RNA (66 nucleotides) under Dermacentor albipictus. Its description in RNAcentral is "tRNA-Phe". It matches the Rfam family "tRNA". Rfam says of the family: Transfer RNA (tRNA) molecules are approximately 80 nucleotides in length. Their secondary structure includes four short double-helical elements and three loops (D, anti-codon, and T loops). Further hydrogen bonds mediate the characteristic L-shaped molecular structure. tRNAs have two regions of fundamental functional importance: the anti-codon, which is responsible for specific mRNA codon recognition, and the 3' end, to which the tRNAs corresponding amino acid is attached (by aminoacyl-tRNA synthetases). tRNAs cope with the degeneracy of the genetic code in two manners: having more than one tRNA (with a specific anti-codon) for a particular amino acid; and 'wobble' base-pairing, i.e. permitting non-standard base-pairing at the 3rd anti-codon position. The record is from RNAcentral. Lineage: Eukaryota; Metazoa; Arthropoda; Arachnida; Ixodida; Ixodidae.
UGUUUUCAUAGUUUAAGCAAAAACAUUACGUUGAAAAUGUAAAAAUAUUUAUUUUUUUGAAAACAG